UUAAUCAAGAAGUAAUAAGACAUCAUGAGUUAAAUGUCAUGACAGUUUCUCUUCCCUCAAAAAUGUGUACUUUGACAUUACAGAUCUGUACACUGUGACAAUACUGGCCAGGUUUCAUUUUAUACAAGAUACAUUUGAAAAGGUUGCUAAGAGAUUAUAGACGACAGAGGACAGAGCAUAUUUACCACUGAACUACACGUCUGGCUGAAGAGGAAGUAUCAUAUAGUGCUGUGAUGCAUAAGAGAAUAACUCUUGUCAAGGUUGAAGCAGCAGAUGAGGAUGUUGCAUACAGCGGACUGGCUCUGCACUAAAUUUAUGUCAGUGUUAGAUCUCUCUGUAGCCUGUCUAGCCUUGAGGUUUUACAUCUGAGAAGGCACACAUGUAAAAGAAACUUUGACCUAUUUGUGUGACAAGUACAAGCUGGCAGUGUACAGCGCAGCUCUAUGAGUAACAUCAUCAUAAGAGUGAAAAGAGCGAGACAGUAGUUGAAACCAGCAGUGUUAUUGAAUGCAUACUUACCUUUGCAAGAAACUAAUUUAGUGACUCAUUGGCCCAGCUGUCAGUAUCAGUCUGCAAGUUA
Long non-coding RNA from Morone saxatilis (striped sea-bass), 580 nucleotides. RefSeq lists it as uncharacterized. Lineage: Eukaryota; Metazoa; Chordata; Actinopteri; Moronidae. The transcript is spliced from 3 exons. The record is from RefSeq and is a predicted model, not a curated record.